Molecule: ribosomal RNA, 421 nt
Filed under: uncultured bacterium
Lineage: Bacteria
Description: bacterial SSU rRNA
Rfam family: Bacterial small subunit ribosomal RNA
Source: RNAcentral
GGAAUUGUUCACAAUGGGCGCAAGCCUGAUGACGCAACGCCGCGUGGAGGAUGAAGGUCUUCGGAUUGUAAACUCCUGUUGCCCGGGACGAAUAGCUCCGACCUAACACGUCGGAGUCUGACGGUACCGGGUGAGGAAGCCCCGGCUAACUCCGUGCCAGCAGCCGCGGUAAUACGGAGGGGGCUAGCGUUGUUCGGAAUUACUGGGCGUAAAGCGCGCGUAGGCGGGCUGUUAAGUCGGGGGUGAAAUCCCGGGGCUCAACCCCGGAACUGCCUUCGAUACUGGCAGCCUGGAGUCCGAGAGAGGUGAGUGGAAUUCCGAGUGUAGAGGUGAAAUUCGUAGAUAUUCGGAGGAACACCAGUGGCGAAGGCGGCUCACUGGCUCGGUACUGACGCUGAGGUGCGAAAGCGUGGGGAGCAAA